Molecule: ribosomal RNA, 253 nt
Filed under: uncultured bacterium
Lineage: Bacteria
Description: partial 16S ribosomal RNA
Rfam family: Bacterial small subunit ribosomal RNA
Source: RNAcentral
UACGAAGGGGGCUAGCGUUGUUCGGAAUUACUGGGCGUAAAGCGCACGCAGGCGGGUCGUUAAGUCGAGGGUGAAAUCCUGGAGCUCAACUCCAGAACUGCCCCCGAUACUGGCGACCUCGAGUCCGGAAGAGGUGAGUGGAACUCCUAGUGUAGAGGUGGAAUUCGUAGAUAUUAGGAAGAACACCAGUGGCGAAGGCGGCUCACUGGUCCGGUACUGACGCUGAGGUGCGAAAGCGUGGGGAGCAAACAGG